This 135-nucleotide ribosomal RNA is filed under the name Escherichia coli. RNAcentral describes it as "partial 16S ribosomal RNA". It matches the Rfam family "Bacterial small subunit ribosomal RNA", at positions 1 to 126 of the family's 1533-position model. Lineage: Bacteria; Pseudomonadati; Pseudomonadota; Gammaproteobacteria; Enterobacterales; Enterobacteriaceae. The record is from RNAcentral.
UUAAAUUGAAGAGUUUGAUCAUGGCUCAGAUUGAACGCUGGCGGCAGGCCUAACACAUGCAAGUCGAACGGUAACAGAAAGCAGCUUGCUGCUUUGCUGACGAGUGGCGGACGGGUGAGUAAUGUCUGGGAAACU